UACGAAGGGUGCAAGCGUUACUCGGAAUUACUGGGCGUAAAGCGUGCGUAGGUGGUUCGUUAAGUCUGAUGUGAAAGCCCUGGGCUCAACCUGGGAAUGGCAUUGGAAACUGGCGGACUGGAGUGCGGUAGAGGGUAGCGGAAUUCCCGGUGUAGCAGUGAAAUGCGUAGAGAUCGGGAGGAACAUCCGUGGCGAAGGCGGCUACCUGGACCAGCACUGACACUGAGGCACGAAAGCGUGGGGAGCAAACAGG
Molecule: ribosomal RNA, 253 nt
Filed under: uncultured bacterium
Lineage: Bacteria
Description: partial 16S ribosomal RNA
Rfam family: Bacterial small subunit ribosomal RNA
Source: RNAcentral